Puntigrus tetrazona (Sumatra barb) is the source of this 5352-nucleotide long non-coding RNA. RefSeq lists it as uncharacterized. The record is from RefSeq and is a predicted model, not a curated record. NCBI's taxonomy places the organism in Eukaryota, Metazoa, Chordata, Actinopteri, Cypriniformes, Cyprinidae. The transcript is spliced from 4 exons.
UUUAAAUUUGAUCAUUUUCCAACUCCCUUAGAGUUAAACAGUUGAGUUUUACCAUUUUUAAAUCAAUUCAGCCAAUCUUCAGAUAUGGUGGUAGCACUUUUAGCUGUAGCUUAGCAUAGAUCAUUGAAUCUGAUUAGACCAGUAGCAUCUCGCUCAAAAAUGUGACCAAAGUGCUAUUUCUAUUUUGAAAAACUUUGCUGCCGUUCUAUGAGUGCAGCAGGCGCAAUGAUAUUAUGCAGCACAUAAACGUUGUGAAUGGUUUUGACAAGUGUGUCUUUUGGCUUCCUCCUCCUCCUGUGUGACUAGCUAGUGUCAGAAGCAUAAAAAGUUGCGCAGUGCCAACUUGUGUAAUGGGAUAUUUCUGUUUUUCAUUAAGCUCUUUUUGUAAACAAAUUAUAAGUGAAAAUUGUUUGGGUAUGAACAGUGAAAAACGCUGACAAUAUUUGCAUGUUAUAAUGGUCCUGGUGUGUACAAGCCUUUAUGCUAAUGGUCUAAUAAGAUCUAUGCUAAGCUACAGCUAAAAGUGCUCUGCAAGACCCAGAUAUUGACUGAAUGGAUUCAAAAAACGGUAAAACUCAACUAUUUAACUCUAGGGAAGUUAGAAAAUGUGCCUAUUUUCAGAAAAGUUGCACGUUCCCUUAAAGCUUAGAACACAAUUUUUAACGCUUAAACCACAAUUCUUUUUUUCUAGACAGACAGGCAUGUUCUGGAAGGUCCCAGCUGAAACAAAUCUAUAUGCUCCCUCUUCCAUAGGGAGAGUGGUCUAGACUCACUGGAGUGUCUGUGAAGAGUGACGGCUCUCCGGAGGAUGAAUUAAUGAACGGGCCUGUGCGCCAUCCAUCCGUACCCACAUGCUCAGAGAGGAGGGGGAGACGGGCUCGUGAGGGUGGGUGACACACAGACAGAAAGCGCGUGUGCAUGGGCUGCUCUUCAGGCUCAGCCACACUGGAUCCAGAAGCGCGUUUGGGACGGUCUGGUCUACAUCACGGUAAUACUGACCUUCACCGAUCUCGUUCUUAGAUCAGAAAGGGUGAACGCAAUAUCGUACGUUUUUGAACAAUAGGCUGUUCUGCUUUAGAGACUGACUGAUAAGUGACGGCAAGCGCUCAGUGCUCUAAACAAAAGCCUGCUCAAAAGUUCUGUGGCAGAGUUUUAAUUAUUUCUAUGAAAGAAAAAAAUCCUUCAAACUGCCAUGCGUUUCUUUUUGGACGGGGUAAAAAAACAGAAUCGUAAAAAAAUAGUUUUAUCAAAAAUAUCUUAUCAAAAUGUUAUUUUCAUUCACUGCCAUCACAAAAGAGUGCUCACCAGUUAUUGGUAUGCACAGUGUUCAAUACGUGUUGCUUAAAACACAAGCACAUACAAUUUAAGGUUUAAUUUUGAAUAAAUCGUAUAAAACUAUAUUGUCGGGGCGUCAUAGUUGUGCAAAUAAAAGCGUUAUUGCAUUUUUCUUUUACAUUUCGGCAGUGUUGGUCACGUUACUCUAAAAUAAGUAAUUUUAGUUACUAGUUACUUCUCACAAAUAGUUACAUCAUUUUAAAAUAACUAAUUACCAGGGAGAGUAACUAUUGUUUACUUUCUAAUGGCAAACUUGGAAGCCCCCAAUAUUAAAUGGUAAAUUGACACUAAAUAUAAUCAAUUAUUAUUAUUAAACAUUGUACAUUCAUCUACACAAUUUAUUUACUGACACAUAGCAGUGGUCAGUCAAGAAUUAUAAUAUAAAAUGGUUAUAACAGCGUUAUAUGACGAUAGAACUUUAGUAAUCAGAAUUGCAAAGUAUGAAUGUAUAUUUGUCAUGUUGACCGAGUUAGGACUGCUGGUGGUGCUAGUUUAUCAUUAUCAUUAAGUGUAUGUAUAAAAAAGGGAGGCAAAAAAUUAUAACAAAACUUCUAUGAAUUGUACUACUACUAACAAUAUAAAACGCACUAACGAUUAAUGAGCUGCUGGAUUCAUGAAUAUUAAUCACGUAGUCAACGUUCGCUCGAAUUGAUUUACUGAAAUAAAAACAGGGCCGAUAAUAGGUGAGCACCAGCCAAUAAGAGAGUUUUUCCGCACAUAAGCUCCGCCCACUACCUGGGAAACCAAUAUUCAGUUCUUAAAAGAUGAAGGAUUCCAAACCUACGCCAUUAUUUUGACAGAAAAAAUACAGCAAAGAAUAACGUUUACAUGUAGCGCGUCAAUUCAGCAUGUUAUGAAAGACUCUCUUGCUCUAUAUCUUUGCGUGUGUGAGACGAACCAAAGACCACAAUUUGAUUUAUUUUUUUCAGUAAUGCGUAAUCAAUGUAUUUAUAAUGCCGUUAUUCCCAUCACUGCAUUUCAGUUACCAGUUGCAACUGAUAGAUCAAAUUUUACAUCCUGUGUGGACAGCAUUAGCAUUACAGCCAUCUAGUUUCAGUUCAAAGUAAUAAACCUGCUAAUGACUAGCACAAAGUUUAAAAAAGUUGUUUUUGUUCAGUGUGAUUGCAUUGUGGGUAACACUCCGACAUACAGCACCAUGGUGUCCCGAGUUCGAAUCCCGACGUCAGGACCUUUCCUGAACCGGACGCGGUCUCUCAUUUCCUUUGCUUCCUGUCAGCUCUGAUCUGUCCUCAUAAUAAAGGUGAAUCAGACAUGAGGUAGUCUGACAACGUUGCAUUUAGUCCUCCACCAACACCAUUUUGCAGUCUUGCUAGCAGGGCCCUCAUCGACACUGGAUCCAACAUUUCCAUAGUCUGCUCGGGAACCCUGCCUGGAACUGAAGGGUCAACACCAACGGGUCAGCUACUAUGAUGCAGAGAACGGGAAGCAGACAGCCUUAAAAGGAGGAAGGCAAUUUCAGGUGAUGGUAGGCACAAACGUUUUCAUUUGUGAGUUUUGGUUGGCUGACAUAGAAAAUCCUUGUAUUAUAGUGGGGCUUGUAUUAGUGUAGCUAGGGUUUACCUUUAGAUCAUCUGGGAAGUCAUUGCCCUACAGAAGGGGCAAGGGGCGGUUGAUGCACCUUUGGGUGAAGCCAGGGGGAAAGCAAAAUAGUCAAGCCCAUUCAAAAGUUAGUCAUGCUGUACCCUCUUGACCCCGAUGUCUUUGCUUCACUUCGCCCUUAAAAAGCAGCAAGAAACCACAGCAUCACCUGCAGAGAGUUGCUAGCAUGGGAAUGCGGGUGCCAUGUCCCUCCUGCCCUGUGAGGUAAUCGACUGCUGCCACCAGAGCUUCAGUUUCUCUGAUGGUAGCAUCUUGUUAAUUUUAACCAGGCUCUUGCCUUAAUUGCUGCAUACUGUUAAUACAGCCAUGGUCAAAAAUAUUGGCGCCCUUGGUAAAUAUGAUCAAAGAAGGCUGUUAAAAUUAACUAAUCAUUUAUUUUCUGCAGUUCUCCAGCUGUGUUCCACUUUGGCCUCUGAAACCCUCCUCCUCACCCUGCAUUAGGACAAUAAAGACACACUUCCAGGCAGCAAAACGGCAGGAAACUAUGAAAACAGGCAUCAAGGACAAGCUAUGAUGAGACAGCGAAAGACUUUGUUACAAAGAUCAAGUGAGAGCUGACAGGACAGACACAAUGAGGGCCAAAACUACAGUGAUAAGGCCAGUCGAAAAAGAUCUUCCGAAGUUAAGAUGGAGAAUGGACAAGUGAUAAGGAACCGGAAACAUCUUAGAUUGCAGAUAUGGUCCCUAGAGACUGUUGAUAUAAAAGAGGAGCAGCCUGCCCCAAAACUAAAUCAUAUUCCCUGUUCAAGACAUGGUAAGCAUUAUUUAUUUACUUUUAUUACAUUGGGUGGAGCGGAUUACAAUCUGGGACUAAUAUUAGUUAGUUAAUUGCAUAAUGUGUUUUCUUAAAGAAUGGGUUAAAGAUUGUAUCUCAGCAGUAAAUUAUUCCCCAUUCCUGUAAUUGCCUGAGGCCCCCAAUUCACUAAAUGCGGCCCUAUUUUCACUCAAUGUUCUCUGUUUCCGACAGAUUGUGAAAUACUUCGUCAUCAACAAGAUUGCUAGCGGAAGCUGCUUACCGCUGUCGCUAAGCAAUGAGGUGUCAAUUUGUGCAAACAAAACGCUUCCCUUUUCUUAUUUAUGGGCCUGUGGGCUAUAUACUUAUUGAAUCAGACAUGACUUUGUUAAAUGUUACGCCACAUAGCAUUAUAUAAGAAUAUUAGAAAUUGUUGUACAUUAAUUUGAUGCAUUGUAAAAUUAGGGAUAGAAACAAAAAAUAUAUAAUUUAAAAAAACCAAAAAUUUCUCAACAUUAAUAGUUUCCUAUGAGUGAUAGGUUUAGGUGUGGCAACUGCCCCACGCUGUAAAAACCAUGGAACAAGGCCUAUGGAAUAUCAAAAAAAUGUAAUUUUUUAUAACAAUCUAAGCCCAACGUAGAUGCGUGUCUUAAUGUCAAAUCAUCACAUUUGAGAAAAUCCCCACAUUUCCUAUAAAACUAUAAUAAUGUUGUAGCAUAGUUUAAAUUAAAUGACAUUGAUCAAAUCUGAAUCAAGAUGUAUUGUUAUUUAGUAUUUUAUCCUAUAAAUUAAAGGCUACUGCAUUUGUUUUAAUAUUAGAUCCAUGACUCCUGUAGACUGUUGUUUAAAGGUUUAAGCUUUACUCCAGAAGUAUUCCAACUAAUUGUUAAUAAUGGCUUUUUUAGGCUGUGUUCAUGUAUUUGAGGCUAUAAAAUGGGGUAUUACUUGAACUAUGGGCCUAAAAUCAAUAAUGUGGAUCGCUUUUAUUUUUCAGAUAAUUCUUGGAUUAAUGUUAGAAAGAGAUGUUUUCACAUUAAACUGUCAAUCUGAGGCACAAUGACAGGCAUUCUGAGUUCCAUAUACUAAAGCAUGUUUGUGAAAUGCAAAAUUAAGUUAUUUUUCAGAGAUAAUUGCACACUUGUUGCAUUGUGCUGCGUAUCAAAUAUUUAAUGCCAAAUGCUAUUAUGACUUUAUUCUGCAGAAUGGGAAACUAACUGAUGAUAGCUAGUUUAAUUAAAAAUAGAUCAUCAAAAAACGGAUUUGGAGAAUAAAAAAAACCAAGCAUCUCCACUAGACGGUGCUGCGUUCAUGUUUGGUGUAAAAUGGCUUAGACUAGUGUUCGUGAGUCGCACAGGUCUUUGUGCAGUUUAUUACACUUACAAUUUGUAAAAGCGUGAUCUUGAAAUGGCAGUCAAAAGCAAAAUCACUCUACAUUUAUUUAUAUAAAAAUACAAAACUUAAAAAAAAAAGUUUCCAUAGGAAAGCAAUUCAGAAGCAAUCCCAUCUCUUUCAAAUCCAUUUCAAAUGCUUCAGUGGCAUACAUUUCAGGUCAAUAAUACAGAUUUCAGGUCAAAAUAAUAUUAACUUACUAAUCAAGUAUAAAAUGGAAAUGGUCACCGAGGAGGAAGAUAUCUGUAUGAGUCUGUGUGAAGAGGAAGCUCUAA